CUUUUCCGUGCUCCUUUCUUUGUAGGAAGAAGCAGAAGUUUUAACCAUCUUCCCAUGGCAUCUGACUUUUUUGAAGAGGAGGACUUUUCAGCCACUUGAUUGAAGGGAAAUAAGAAGUUUGUUUCAAGACUCUUAUGUCAUUCAUCAGCUCUGUUAACAAAAGUGGGGCUUGAGGAUACAUUUGCUGCUUCUUUGCAUUUUUGCUGAAGGUGCUGCAGUAUGGUGGGAGCUCCUGUAGCUGGAAUCUGGCCUCCAGUGUGGGUGUUAGAGCCACGAGAGAAGCAGUGAGAUCCACAGUGGGGAAAAUGAACCCAGCAGUCCAUCCUAUCCUAUACCUGCCUGAAUAUGGGAAAAGACCUAGUACAAAGCCAGAAUGCAGCUGGGUUGCAGUCUUUUUAACCAUAUUAAGUCCUGUUCAGAGUUAAUGUCCUCUCCAGAUGAUCUCAAUGAGAUGGUCACAGCAAUGCUGAAGAAAGGAAGGGCAGAAUUGGAAGGCAAGAGCUACUUCAAAGCAAGAUUCUUCAUCUUUCUGUAAUGCCCAAACAUGAAGACUUUAUAAACUUCAUUAGAUCCUGUCAUCAAUGAAUGAGCCUCCCUGAAAUCAUCCUAUCAGUUACUGCCAAGAUGAGAAGGAUAACAGGAAGGAAGGAGUGCUUAAGUGGCUUUAAUAACAGUUAAUUUAAUACGUUUAUCAAAUGACAGGUUGCUUUUUCCUCAAAACUCGAUUGUCAUGACAAGAUGCUUUUGGAAGUCAUCUUUGUAAAAUAAAACUGACAAUUUUUAAGGUAUAAAGUGCUAUUGUAUUUUUCUUUAGAAUGUUGUCAUUAUGGUAAACUGCUGGAAAGUCUUUAUUUUUGAAGUAAUUUAACUUGCAUACUUCAUUCAUUUAUUUGAAUGUCUGUUGAAUGCUGUGUGAAAAAUUUCUUGCCAGAGUUUUUAUUCAAUGGAAUAGUUACUGUUACAGUGCUCAAUUUAUUAUUGUCUAAAUUACUGUUGCCCUAGCCUCCUGCAAAAAUGUUUUUUUUUAGUUAUUCUUAAACAAAUAAAGAAUGAAUGAGGUUCUG
Pseudopodoces humilis (Tibetan ground-tit) is the source of this 1064-nucleotide non-coding RNA. The record is from RefSeq and is a predicted model, not a curated record. Lineage: Eukaryota; Metazoa; Chordata; Aves; Passeriformes; Paridae.